Molecule: unclassified non-coding RNA, 349 nt
Filed under: soil metagenome
Description: partial contains 5.8S ribosomal RNA, internal transcribed spacer 2, and large subunit ribosomal RNA
Rfam family: 5.8S ribosomal RNA (bases 1-120)
Source: RNAcentral
GAUGAAGAACGUAGCGAAAUGCGAUAAGUAAUGUGAAUUGCAGAAUUUAGUGAAUCAUCGAAUCUUUGAACGCACAUUGCGCCCGCCAGCACUCUGGCGGGCAUGCCUGUCCGAGCGUCAUUUCAACCCUCAGGGCCCCUUCGGGGGACCUGGCGUUGGGGAUCGGCCCGCCCCCGUGCGGCGCCGUCCCCGAAAUAUAGUGGCGGUCUCGCUGCAGCCUCCCCUGCGUAGUAGCACACCUCGCACUGGAGAGUGGCGCGGCCACGCCGUGAAACCCCCAACUUCUGAAUGUUGACCUCGGAUCAGGUAGGAAUACCCGCUGAACUUAAGCAUAUCAAUAAGCGGAGGA